GGGUCAGUAGGUUGGUCGUGCCACCGGUACGUACUGGUCUCACUGAUUCCUCCUUCCUGAAGAACCGUAAUGCCAUCAAUUUGGUGUUGCGGGGAAACAGGACUGUUACUUUGAAAAAAUUAGAGUGUUUAAAGCAAGCUAACGCUUGAAUACAUUAGCAUGGAAUAAUGAAAUAGGACGAUCGAUCCUAUUUUGUUGGUUUCCAGGAUUGACGUA
This 216-nucleotide ribosomal RNA is filed under the name Glomeromycotina sp. RNAcentral's name for it is "partial small subunit ribosomal RNA". The stretch from base 44 to 216 matches the Rfam family "Eukaryotic small subunit ribosomal RNA", at positions 690 to 864 of the family's 1831-position model. The record is from RNAcentral. Lineage: Eukaryota; Fungi; Glomeromycota.